Molecule: unclassified non-coding RNA, 581 nt
Filed under: Hevea brasiliensis (rubber tree)
Lineage: Eukaryota; Viridiplantae; Streptophyta; Magnoliopsida; Malpighiales; Euphorbiaceae
Source: RNAcentral
CUAACUAUUCGCGAUUCAAUCUUCAAAAUAUUGUCGAAGGAAGAUGGAGUUCGAUAAGCCUCAAAUUUAUCACGAGAAGCAAAGAUUGCAAUUCUGCCUUUUGCACGCCCUCAACAAUCUCUUCCAGCAAAAGGAUGAGUUUACUCGAGCCAGCUUGGAUGCAAUUGCUCAGAAACUCGUUUUGGAUGAUCCAAACAAGCAGAACCAGACACCCUUUUCUAUUGUCUUCAAGCCUCAUCAUAAUUCCCUCACUGGAAACUAUGACAUCAACGUCUUGAUAGCCGCCCUUGAAGAGAAAGGUAAGACUGUAGCUUGGCAUGACCGGCGAAAUGGGGCUUCUUCAAUUCAUCUUGAUAAUCAUAGUAAUGGGUCUGAAGAUAGUAAAUUGUUUGGUAUAGUGCUUAAUGUUCAAGUUAGACGGUAUGCUGGGCUUUGGAAGAGUAGGCAUUGGGUUGCUUUGAGAAAGAUUGGCGGGGGUUUGGGGUUUGGUAUAAUUUGGACAGUGAUCUUAGUGAGCCUAUGGCUUUUCAGGAUGCUGAUAAGGUCAGGGGAUUCUUGGAUUGCAUUAUUGGUCAGGGUGG